GCGGCGGACGGGUGAGUAACACGUGGACAAUCUGCCCCCCGGCCGGGAUAGCCCAGGGAAACCUGGGAUUAAUACCGGAUGAGACGGGACCUGCGAUGGCGGGAUCCGGGAAAGGCGCUACGGCGCCGCCGGGGGAUGAGUCUGCGUCCCAUUAGCUAGACGGCGGGGUAACGGCCCACCGUGGCGACGAUGGGUAGCCGGCCUGAGAGGGUGGACGGCCACAUUGGAACUGAGACACGGUCCAGACUCCUACGGGAGGCAGCAGCUAAGAAUCUUCCGCAAUGGGCGAAAGCCUGACGGAGCGAACCGCCGCGUGAACGAAGAAGGCCGUGAGGUUGUAAAGUUCUUUUCGGGAGGGGGAACAACCGUGGCAGGGAAUGGCCGCGGGAUGACGUGAAUCCCGGAAUAAGCCCCGGCUAACUACGUGCCAGCCGCCGC
This 438-nucleotide ribosomal RNA is filed under the name uncultured bacterium. Its description in RNAcentral is "bacterial SSU rRNA". It matches the Rfam family "Bacterial small subunit ribosomal RNA", at positions 95 to 518 of the family's 1533-position model. The record is from RNAcentral.